UACAGAGGUCUCAAGCGUUGUUCGGAUUCAUUGGGCGUAAAGGGUGUGUAGGUGGCGCCGUAAGUCGGGUGUGAAAUUUCGAGGCUUAACCUCGAAACUGCAUUCGAUACUGCGGUGCUUGAGGACUGGAGAGGAGACUGGAAUUCAUGGUGUAGCAGUGAAAUGCGUAGAGAUCAUGAGGAAGACCAGUGGCGAAGGCGGGUCUCUGGACAGUUCCUGACACUGAGGCACGAAGGCCAGGGGAGCAAACGGG
RNAcentral lists this ribosomal RNA (253 nucleotides) under uncultured bacterium. RNAcentral describes it as "partial 16S ribosomal RNA". It matches the Rfam family "Bacterial small subunit ribosomal RNA", at positions 524 to 776 of the family's 1533-position model. The record is from RNAcentral.